RNAcentral lists this transfer RNA (93 nucleotides) under Candidatus Proximibacter danicus. RNAcentral describes it as "tRNA-Tyr". The record is from RNAcentral. Lineage: Bacteria; Pseudomonadati; Pseudomonadota; Betaproteobacteria.
GGGCGUCUUGGUGCUAAGGCGUGUGCACCGCCGGACUGUAAAUCCGGCCCCACGUGGCAAACAUUCCUGGUUCGACUCCAGGGACGCCCACCA